GGCCUCUCUCCCAUUGGGCUGUGGGACCCCUUUCCUUCUCAGCCAGGACUGGAGGCCAAGAUUAGUCCUUGAGGAUCAUUAUCAGGACUGCUGUGAGUGGACAGACUUCUUUUCCUGCCUCAGACACUG
Molecule: non-coding RNA, 129 nt
Organism: Nannospalax galili (Upper Galilee mountains blind mole rat)
Lineage: Eukaryota; Metazoa; Chordata; Mammalia; Rodentia; Spalacidae
Source: Ensembl